This 253-nucleotide ribosomal RNA is filed under the name uncultured bacterium. Its description in RNAcentral is "partial 16S ribosomal RNA". It matches the Rfam family "Bacterial small subunit ribosomal RNA", at positions 524 to 776 of the family's 1533-position model. The record is from RNAcentral.
UACGUAGGGGGCUAGCGUUGUCCGGAAUUAUUGGGCGUAAAGCGCUCGCAGGCGGUUUCUUAAGUCUGAUGUGAAAGCCCACGGCUCAACCGUGGAGGGUCAUUGGAAACUGGGAGACUUGAGUGCAGAAGAGGAGAGUGGAAUUCCACGUGUAGCGGUGAAAUGCGUAGAGAUGUGGAGGAACACCAGUGGCGAAGGCGACUCUCUGGUCUGUAACUGACGCUGAGGAGCGAAAGCGUGGGGAGCAAACAGG